AUUUCGUGUGUAUUUUAGUCUAGACGCCGUCUGUUUGAUUUCAUGUUUUAGCUUUUGGAGUGAAAUUGUUCAUCUUUGUUUCAAUUUCAAUGUUGACAUUAUUUUCCUUUCAAAAGCUGAACACGACUGUAACGAAUCACAUCAAUCAGUCAAUAAAUCAAGUAAUACCUAUGCGGUUUAAUCUACAUAAGUAUCUUUAUUCAUCAAAACAUAUAAGUUUGGCUUCAUAUACUGUUAGUAUCGUAACAAUCGAUUCUC
Molecule: long non-coding RNA, 258 nt
Filed under: Mytilus galloprovincialis (Mediterranean mussel)
Lineage: Eukaryota; Metazoa; Mollusca; Bivalvia; Mytilida; Mytilidae
Source: RNAcentral